AGCUUUGUGCAGCGGCAGUAUCGUAGACAAUGAGGUUUAUCCGAGGUGCAAUGAUUGAUAAUUGAAAAAAGUACAAAUUAUCACACUAAUACACAUAGAUUUUUAGGUAUAGAAUUCUA
Molecule: small nuclear RNA, 119 nt
Filed under: Octodon degus (degu)
Lineage: Eukaryota; Metazoa; Chordata; Mammalia; Rodentia; Octodontidae
Description: U4 spliceosomal RNA (ENSODEG00000023733.1)
Rfam family: U4 spliceosomal RNA
About the family: U4 small nuclear RNA (U4 snRNA) is a component of the major U2-dependent spliceosome. The structure of U4 snRNA from yeast and human has been reported. U4 snRNA presents a k-turn RNA motif in the 5p-SL related to recognition of Snu13 protein.
Source: RNAcentral